RNAcentral lists this non-coding RNA (21 nucleotides) under Arabidopsis thaliana (thale cress). The record is from RNAcentral. Lineage: Eukaryota; Viridiplantae; Streptophyta; Magnoliopsida; Brassicales; Brassicaceae.
CGGGCGUCGGCCUGUGGGCUC